This is a transfer RNA of Cavia porcellus (domestic guinea pig), 64 nucleotides long. It matches the Rfam family "tRNA". From Rfam's summary of the family: Transfer RNA (tRNA) molecules are approximately 80 nucleotides in length. Their secondary structure includes four short double-helical elements and three loops (D, anti-codon, and T loops). Further hydrogen bonds mediate the characteristic L-shaped molecular structure. tRNAs have two regions of fundamental functional importance: the anti-codon, which is responsible for specific mRNA codon recognition, and the 3' end, to which the tRNAs corresponding amino acid is attached (by aminoacyl-tRNA synthetases). tRNAs cope with the degeneracy of the genetic code in two manners: having more than one tRNA (with a specific anti-codon) for a particular amino acid; and 'wobble' base-pairing, i.e. permitting non-standard base-pairing at the 3rd anti-codon position. The record is from Rfam. NCBI's taxonomy places the organism in Eukaryota, Metazoa, Chordata, Mammalia, Rodentia, Caviidae.
GGGGAUUUAGUUCAGCAGCAUAAGCGCCUGCCUUGAAAGCAGGCAGUCGUGAGUUCAAUCCCCA